This 74-nucleotide transfer RNA is filed under the name Siminovitchia fortis. RNAcentral describes it as "Bacillus fortis tRNA". It matches the Rfam family "tRNA". Rfam says of the family: Transfer RNA (tRNA) molecules are approximately 80 nucleotides in length. Their secondary structure includes four short double-helical elements and three loops (D, anti-codon, and T loops). The record is from Rfam by way of RNAcentral. Lineage: Bacteria; Bacillati; Bacillota; Bacilli; Caryophanales; Bacillaceae. RNAcentral also lists the same sequence under 7 other names.
CGGGAAGUAGCUCAGCUUGGUAGAGCACUUGGUUUGGGACCAAGGGGCCGCAGGUUCAAAUCCUGUCUUCCCGA